This 225-nucleotide unclassified non-coding RNA is filed under the name Hevea brasiliensis (rubber tree). Lineage: Eukaryota; Viridiplantae; Streptophyta; Magnoliopsida; Malpighiales; Euphorbiaceae. The record is from RNAcentral.
ACCUGUAUCAUUCCAGGAUGAUCCCUGGGAUUGUUUCCUGGCCAUGGCGUUCCAUCCUGCAUGGUCCAACCUUCCUCGGGCAUCUUUUGUGCUUUGGCAACAAGCGCAUUGAUCCGAAUCUUGAAUUCUUCAUACUCUCUCUUCAUUGCUCGCCUCUCUUUGACAAAAGAAGGUUUAAUCUUGUCCUUCAAGUAAUCUAUUUUUUGAGCAAAAUAAAAUUCAGGG